Molecule: non-coding RNA, 104 nt
Organism: Podarcis lilfordi (Lilford's wall lizard)
Lineage: Eukaryota; Metazoa; Chordata; Lepidosauria; Squamata; Lacertidae
Source: the annotation of a GenBank genome assembly
CUUCCAGUAGCACCUUAGAGACCAACUAAGUUUGUUAUUGGUACAAGCUUUCGUGUGCUCAUACCAAUAACAAUCUUAGUUGGUCGCUAAGGUUCUACUAGAAG